UACAGAGGGUGCAAGCGUUAAUCGGAUUUACUGGGCGUAAAGGGCGCGUAGGCGGACUAGUCAGUCAGUUGUGAAAUACCUGGGCUUAACCGAGGGGUUGCAAUUGAAACUAUUAGUCUAGAGUGUAGUAGAGGGAAGUGGAAUAUCCAGUGUAGCGGUGAAAUGCGUAGAUAUUGGAUAGAACACCGGUGGCGAAGGCG
RNAcentral lists this ribosomal RNA (200 nucleotides) under uncultured bacterium. RNAcentral's name for it is "partial 16S ribosomal RNA". It matches the Rfam family "Bacterial small subunit ribosomal RNA", at positions 524 to 723 of the family's 1533-position model. The record is from RNAcentral.